RNAcentral lists this ribosomal RNA (263 nucleotides) under Escherichia coli. Its description in RNAcentral is "partial 16S ribosomal RNA". It matches the Rfam family "Bacterial small subunit ribosomal RNA", at positions 1 to 260 of the family's 1533-position model. The record is from RNAcentral. Lineage: Bacteria; Pseudomonadati; Pseudomonadota; Gammaproteobacteria; Enterobacterales; Enterobacteriaceae.
AAAUUGAAGAGUUUGAUCAUGGCUCAGAUUGAACGCUGGCGGCAGGCCUAACACAUGCAAGUCGAACGGUAACAGGAAGCAGCUUGCUGUUUUGCUGACGAGUGGCGGACGGGUGAGUAAUGUCUGGGAAACUGCCUGAUGGAGGGGGAUAACUACUGGAAACGGUAGCUAAUACCGCAUAACGUCGCAAGACCAAAGAGGGGGACCUUAGGGCCUCUUGCCAUCGGAUGUGCCCAGAUGGGAUUAGCUAGUAGGUGGGGUAA